UACAGAGGGUGCAAGCGUUGUUCGGAAUUAUUGGGCGUAAAGGGCGCGUAGGCGGUGCUGUAAGUCUGUGGUGAAAUCUCUGGGCUCAACUCAGAGUCUGCCAUAGAAACUGCAGUGCUGGAGUGUGGGAGAGGUGAGUGGAAUUCCCGGUGUAGCGGUGAAAUGCGUAGAUAGUCGGGAGGAACACCUGUGGCGAAAGCGGCUCACUGGACCACAACUGACGCUGAGGCGCGAAAGCUAGGGGAGCAAACAGG
This 254-nucleotide ribosomal RNA is filed under the name uncultured bacterium. Its description in RNAcentral is "partial 16S ribosomal RNA". It matches the Rfam family "Bacterial small subunit ribosomal RNA", at positions 524 to 776 of the family's 1533-position model. The record is from RNAcentral.